UCCAUAAAAGACCUUUUGAUUUGAACAUGCAUAUGUUUUGAGUAUUGAUAUUAGAGGCUUGCCAAGUCUAUUUGUGUUUUCUUUCUUGAGUGCAUUGAGUUGACAUUGUUUAUCCUAGACACUUGAGAGAAACACUGAUAGUGUGCAUCUGUGAGGUUUUGUUGCUUUUGAUUCACCUCUUAAGCUGACUGAUCAUUUUGCCAUGCUUUGAAUUUCUUGGAUGACUUCAUGAGUAUCUGUUUUCUCUGAUUCUGUGUUGGAUAUUGUCUACUUCCUCUUCUUUGUCCAGAUUUCUUGAAGAAAUGUGCAAUUCUGUUUCUGUCCUUGUGAGUCUUAGUUGUUUGUAUGUUAAGUCUGUCACCUCCCUGAUGUUUGAGUUGUUCCCUGG
Molecule: long non-coding RNA, 388 nt
Filed under: Vigna radiata
Lineage: Eukaryota; Viridiplantae; Streptophyta; Magnoliopsida; Fabales; Fabaceae
Description: long non-coding RNA (VRAD_LNC002169)
Source: RNAcentral